AUUGAACGCUGGCGGCAUGCCUUACACAUGCAAGUCGAACGGCAGCACGGGAGCAAUCCUGGUGGCGAGUGGCGAACGGGUGAGUAAUAUAUCGGAACGUGCCCAGUCGUGGGGGAUAACGCAGCGAAAGCUGUGCUAAUACCGCAUACGAUCUCUGGAUGAAAGCGGGGGACCGUAAGGCCUCGCGCGAUUGGAGCGGCCGAUAUCAGAUUAGCUGGUUGGUGGGGUAAAGGCCCACCAAGGCGACGAUCUGUAGCUGGUCUGAGAGGACGACCAGCCACACUGGAACUGAGACACGGUCCAGACUCCUACGGGAGGCAGCAGUGGGGAAUUUUGGACAAUGGGCGCAAGCCUGAUCCAGCAAUGCCGCGUGCAGGAUGGAGGCCUUCGGGUUGUAAACUGCUUUUGUACGGAACGAAACAGCGAGCUCUAAUAAAGUUUGCUAAUGACGGUACCGUAAGAAUAAGCACCGGCUAACUACGUGCCAGCAGCCGCCGUAA
This 500-nucleotide ribosomal RNA is filed under the name uncultured bacterium. RNAcentral describes it as "partial 16S ribosomal RNA". It matches the Rfam family "Bacterial small subunit ribosomal RNA", at positions 30 to 523 of the family's 1533-position model. The record is from RNAcentral.